CGAAGGAUGCAAGCGUUAUCCGGAUUCAUUGGGUUUAAAGGGUGCGUAGGCGGACUGAUAAGUCAGUGGUGAAAUCUCUUUGCUUAACAAAGAAACUGCCAUUGAUACUGUCGGUCUAGAGUAUAGAUGACGUUGGCGGAAUAUGACAUGUAGUGGUGAAAUACUUAGAUAUGUCAUAGAACACCGAUUGCGAAGGCAGCUAACGAAACUAUAACUGACGCUGAGGCACGAAAGUGCGGGGAUCAAACAGGAUUAGAUACCCUGGUAGUCCGCACCGUAAACGAUGAUUACUCGUUGUUGGCAAUAUGACCGUCAGCGACCAAGCGAAAGCGAUAAGUAAUCCACCUGGGGAGUACGCCGGCAACGGUG
This 369-nucleotide ribosomal RNA is filed under the name uncultured organism. RNAcentral describes it as "bacterial SSU rRNA". It matches the Rfam family "Bacterial small subunit ribosomal RNA", at positions 526 to 896 of the family's 1533-position model. The record is from RNAcentral.